RNAcentral lists this ribosomal RNA (408 nucleotides) under uncultured bacterium. Its description in RNAcentral is "partial 16S ribosomal RNA". It matches the Rfam family "Bacterial small subunit ribosomal RNA", at positions 28 to 526 of the family's 1533-position model. The record is from RNAcentral.
GACGAACGCUGACGGCGUGCUUAAUACAUGCAAGUCGAAGGGAGUGGCGAACGGGUGAGUAACACGUGAGUAACCUGCCCUUUUCUUUGGGAUAAGCCUGGGAAACUGGGUCUAAUACUGGAUGGAUUGGGAUGGGCUCGCGGCUUAUCGGCUGGUUGGUGGGGGUAUGGGUUACCAAGGCUUUGACGGGUAGCCGGCCUGCGAGGGUGGUCGGUCACACUGAGACUGAGAUACGGCCCAGGGUCGUACGGGGGGGAGCAGUGGGGGAUAUUGCACAAUGGACGAAAGUCCAAUGCAGCGACGGCGUGUGGGGGAUGAGGGCCUUCGGGUUGUAAACUCCUUGAGGCCGUGGAAUGGUAGUGGGUAAAGAAGCGCCGGCUAACUACGUGCCAGCAGCCGCGGUAAUUC